UACGUAGGGGGCAAGCGUUGUCCGGAUUUAUUGGGCGUAAAGAGCGUGUAGGCGGCCUGAAAGGUCAGCUGUGAAAACUCGAGGCUCAACCUCGAGACGUCGGUUGAAACCAUCCGGCUAGAGUCCGGAAGAGGAGUGUGGAAUUCCCGGUGUAGCGGUGAAAUGCGCAGAUAUCGGGAAGAACACCCGUGGCGAAGGCGGCACUCUGGGACGGUACUGACGCUGAGACGCGAAAGCGUGGGGAGCGAACAGG
This 253-nucleotide ribosomal RNA is filed under the name uncultured bacterium. RNAcentral describes it as "partial 16S ribosomal RNA". It matches the Rfam family "Bacterial small subunit ribosomal RNA", at positions 524 to 776 of the family's 1533-position model. The record is from RNAcentral.